Molecule: non-coding RNA, 45 nt
Organism: Schistosoma haematobium
Lineage: Eukaryota; Metazoa; Platyhelminthes; Trematoda; Strigeidida; Schistosomatidae
Source: Rfam
AUCCAGCUGACGAGUCCCAAGCUGGACGAAAAGUGUAUCUUGGAU